Helianthus annuus (common sunflower) is the source of this 488-nucleotide long non-coding RNA. RefSeq lists it as uncharacterized. The record is from RefSeq and is a predicted model, not a curated record. The transcript is spliced from 3 exons. NCBI's taxonomy places the organism in Eukaryota, Viridiplantae, Streptophyta, Magnoliopsida, Asterales, Asteraceae.
CACAUUGUGCGUGUCUGGGGAUCGAACAAGGCAGAGAACAAGGGUGAAAACCCUUGUUUAUCAAAUUCAAUCAAUUGGGUAGGAGAUUAGAAGAAAAUCAACUGCAUGAACUCAAAUCUACACUCAUCUAAACUCGAUCUUUUAAAGAGGCGCGAAGGAAGAAGGUUCAAGUACUAGGAAAUCGGAAGGCCCGCAAGAUCGAGGUAAAGCCUCAAUUUAAUCGGUUCGGCGACUUGGAACGAGCACCCAUAUGUAAUUCCCCUACAAGCGCUUUCGCUACCUUUUGUAACAAAGUCAUGGUCAAAUGUAUUUUGUUGUAGUUAGUUUCAAAUAUUAGUUAAACUUUGAAGUCUGACUUGUUUGGUCUUUUGAAAUUUCUCUAGAUGUCGGUAGUUAUCUAAAACUAUGUUUUCGAUUUGUAAGUCUUUUGAAAGUGUUGUUAAUUACUUGAAAUUACGUUUGUCAAAACAGGGAUUGUUCAUAUAGCA